RNAcentral lists this long non-coding RNA (3800 nucleotides) under Nicotiana benthamiana. RNAcentral describes it as "long non-coding RNA (NBEN_LNC003303)". Lineage: Eukaryota; Viridiplantae; Streptophyta; Magnoliopsida; Solanales; Solanaceae. The record is from RNAcentral.
AAUAUAAUGAACUCUUAUUCUACACUCUUCAGACAUUACAAAAAUAUGCUUGAGAAUUUAACAAGAUGAAAAUAUUGAAUAGGAGCUAGAAUUUGUUUUGAAUGGUUUUUCCUAAAAUACUAACUCGUUUUUAUAGGAAAUGUGCGAGCCCGGGGGUUGAUACAUUCACUUAUUGGUGGGUCCAAAAUAAGGGGUAUAGCGCGAUGUAUUUGAAUACUAUAUAUAGCAUAAAAAUAUAGCACGUUAUACAUGUAUCAGUAAAUUUCAGUAUAUAUAACGCGAAAACCUUAACGACGAAAGUUACCGUUAAGGUAUAACUUUUUUUAAUACUUAUUUACAUAUCUCUUGUCCAAAAAGACAACAAAAAGGUUCCAGACUCUUAUCUCGUGAAUGUAGUCCUUUCUCUAGUGGGAACUUUUAUAUCAUAUAUGCAACUAUAUUACCAAAUAUACUCAUAGUUUGUUUAUUAUUCUUCAUGCUAAUAGUAUUCCUACAAAAUAUAGAUAAUGGAUUAACUAAGAAAUUAUUGUAGCUGUAGGAUUCCUUAUUUAGGCGUGCUAAAAUUGGAAAAUUAAAUAAUCUUCAAGAUCUUCCACAAUGCAGAUCACGCACAUUCCAUAAUUAUCGUCAGCUUCACUCUGAUCUUCCGCAAUGCAGAUCAAGAUUUUUCAUACUCUAUUUUUGUGAUACACUCUGUUUCCAGAAUUCUCUCUACAUCUCUCUCUCUCUCUAUCUCUCUAUCCCAAAUUUCAGUAAUGCAAAACAAAUAAAAAGAGAACAGCAAUUCCACUAUUGACAGCCAUUAAAAAGAUUGAAAGCUUUGAUUUAAUUUAAAUUUUCAAAAAUAAUUAUUUGUUUGGAUUGGAUGUUGUUGAAAAUAAUCGGAAAUAUGGUUUGGAGUUUAUAUCUCACGUUUGAGGAAUUUUUGUAAAGAUUAGACUUGGUUUUGACUGAAUUUCAGAUUGAAGAAGAAGAAGAAGAAGAAGAAGAAGAAGAAAAAGAAGAAGACAUGACAUACAUUAUAUUGCAUAAAUUGUAGAAAAAUUAUAGAUAAAUUGUAAAAAAAAAAAAUUAUAGACUAUUCUUCAUUUAUUUUUCUUUAAUUCAUUUACCUAUUGUAUGAAUGUUGAACAAUAUUAUAUAAAAAUAAUAUUUAUGUAUGAUUUAGUACUGUUUUGGACAAAAAUAUGUAUCAAAAAUGUGAAACAUACAUUUCAGGGGAAGUAUGUUGAGUCCAAAUAUGUACCCAGUUUGUAGAUAUUUUGUAGAUAAAUUAUAAAUUAUUUGUAUUCUAAUAUGUCGAGUCCAAAUAUGUACCCAGUUUGUAGAUAUCUUAUAGAUAAAUUAUAAAUUACUUAUAUUUUGAUUGUAGAUGCUUUAUGUUUUAUUUUUACAAAUAAAAAACGACUAAAACUUCGACAAAUCUUUUGAAAUGCAAUUAUGUCAAAAAUGUCAAUUAUGCUACAAUCGAAUGGAUGGGAUGUUAAAAUUUAUUGUACCCAAUUAGCAAAUAUUUUGUAGAUAAAUAGUAAAUUAUUUGUAUUCUGAUUGUAGAUGCUUUAUUUUCUGUUUUCACAAAUCAAAAACGACUAAAACUUCUACAAAUCUUCUGUAAAAAUGCAAUUAUGUCGAAAAUCUCAAUUAUGCUAUAAUUAAAUGGGAAUUGGGAUAUUAAAAUUCAAUGUACCAAAUUUGUAGAUAUUUUGUCGAUAAAUUGCAAGAAUAUUUGUAUUUUGAUUGUAGAUAUUUUGUUUUCUAUUUUCACAAAUCAAAAAAGACUAAAACUUCUUCAAAUCUUCUACAAAAAGUGUAAUUAUGUCGAAAAUUCCGAUUAUGCUACAAUACUGUGAUUCUCCUAUAUGUUAUUGUUACUCCUUAAGAAACUGCUAUGCAAAAUAUGUAAUCCAAAAGAACAUGAUGAAGGGAUAGAUCUUCCUAAUAAAUUUGUAGAAACUUUAAAAUUUUGUAUUUUCAUAUUAAUUUUUCAAAUGAUAUAUAAUUUUGUUAUAGAUUAAAUGUAGAAAACAAGCUAUUGUGAGUAUUAUUAAUUCAAUCCUCACAUUCAACCUACACUACAAAUUCAUGCAUGCCUCUUUAAAUUCAAUACAACUAUACUUUCUUGAAUUUAAAUGUAUAACAAUAUAUAUAAAUUAAAAGACAUCUUUUCCUCUGCACAAGUUAGCUCCAAAACAGAGGAAAUGGAAUAACAAGAUUUCAUCAUGAACUUUUAACAAAAACACAAAGCUCAAAAAUAAAUAAAUAACAGUCUACACUUUUUCUACAAUUUCUGCAAUAUAAUGUAUGUCAUGUCUUCUUCUUCUUCGAGUUUCAAUCUAAAAUUCAGCCAAAACCAAGUAUAAUCUUCAUCAAAAACUCUCAAAAUUGAGAUAUAAACUCUAAACCAUAUUCUCAAUUAUUUACAAUAACACUCAAUCCAAACAAUAAUGAUUUUUGAAAACCCAAAUUAGAAUUCAAAGCUUCAAAGCUUUUAAUGACUGUCAAUGGUGAAAUUGCGGUUCUCUUUUCCUUUCCUCUUAUAAUACCGAUAUUUGGGAUUGCGAGAUAGAGAGAGAAGUAGAGAGAAUUCUCAAUUCUUUGCAACAACAUCCAAUCCAAACAAACAAUGUCUUUUGAAAACCCAAAUUCGAAUUCAAAGCCUUGACUAUGGAAGGAAUAAUGAGAUUUUGAUCCAGAAAAUUUUUGAAAAUCCAAAUUCGAAUUCAAGGCCUCGGCUAUGAAGAAAUAAUGGGAUUUUGAUACAGAAAUCGUGUGUGUGGGAGAAAAACGUGGGUGAAGGUGUGGGAAUUAAAGAGAGAAGCGUGGGGGAAGUGGUAUUAGAAGGAAUAUACAUUACUAUUAAAUUAGGAGUGUAAUUAAUAUCCUUAAAAUCACUAAUGGUAUAUAAUUGGUAAUUAGGUAUACUAAAUAUAAUUAUAUCAAACCUCAGACAUUAAGGGUAAUAUGAUUUUCUAUGUGACAUAGAAAUAUAAAAAUUCCUUUUCUAAUCAAGAACAGGUCGCUAACCUAGUGGUUCGCCGGGAAUAAUGUUUUCGACAAGUAUUAUAGGUACAGUGCAUUGUAAAUUUUCAAAUUGAGGUAUUAAACAAAUAUAACUCAAUUUAGUAUAUGACAUGCAAAUUGAAAUGAAGCAAAUCAGGAAAUUCGUACUCUACUUGUUUUCUUAGAAAAAGUGCAGCAAAACUAAGCAAUAAAAAGGAAACGGGGCUAAAGAAAAGGCUGUAGUAACUGAAGGUAUAAAGAAUCCCUUGGAUUAGGAUCAAAUAUUCAGAUACACACUUUUAUCUUUGUGGAAAUUCGAUUUUAGGGGNNNNNNNNNNNNNNNNNNNNNNNNNNNNNNNNNNNNNNNNNNNNNNNNNNNNNNNNNNNNNNNNNNNNNNNNNNNNNNNNNNNNNNNNNNNNNNNNNNNNNNNNNNNNNNNNNNNNNNNNNNNNNNNNNNNNNNNNNNNNNNNNGGGGGGGGGGGGGGGGGGGGGGGGGAGGUAUGAAGAUAUCUAUGAUACAUAUGCAAUUGGACGGACAAAUAAUUCUAUUUUAGUAAAAAAUAGAAGAGAUGAUAGAAAUUUGAAUGAUCUGAGCAUUUAUAAAUCCAAAGAGAAGUUGAAAGGUUAGAACACAAAGAGAUACAUAAAGAGUUAUGGUGUAGUUAAAGUUUAACUACAUCAUAAGAUCACUCCAAAGAAAGGAUUCACACGGGUAUUUCUCAACACUCAACACUCUUAUAAAAUACUCUUAGUAAAUAAAGGAGGAGAAAGAAAGACAAGAUUGAAAAGCUCUCGAAUU